MicroRNA precursor from Chlorocebus sabaeus (green monkey), 92 nucleotides. The record is from Ensembl. NCBI's taxonomy places the organism in Eukaryota, Metazoa, Chordata, Mammalia, Primates, Cercopithecidae.
AUUGUAUUAGGUUGGUGCAAAAGUAAUUGCUAUUUUAGACGUUACUUUCAAUGGCAAAAACUGCAAUUACUUUUGCACCAACCUAAUACAAU